GCAAUAUAGAUUAUAUUAGGAUAAAUUAUGUUGAGAUUAAUUAUGUUGGGAUUGUUGUUUAUUCGUUGUUUGGUAUAUAUUAUUAAGAAUAACAAUUGCAAAAUUUUUAAGAAGAAGGUAUAAGUUAUACCCGUGCUAAUUACCCCACCUUUUAUAAGGUAUAAGUUAUACCAGUGUUAAAAUUAGCAUCGAUAUAACUUAUACCUGAUUUGCUAACCAAACAGAGUAUUAUACCAUUCUUAUACCUUAUACCAAACAACUUCUUAAAAUGCGAUUUUUUUUUUUAAAUUCUACUUGAAUACAAAAUACUUUAUGCACUAAACUGUCGUUUUCAGAACCUCUUGCAGUAACAAAUUGGGCCUCAUUGCAGCAAAUGGGCCUUUCUAGAAAAUAUUGAUUAGAAAGAAUUUUAGGCCGCUAGUCCUGCCAAAGAACGAAUAAGUUAUUUAGAAGCAUGUAAGUAGUGUUGUAAUGAUGGUUUGAGAUGAUAAAAGAUGUAGUAAUAAGUAGUACUCCUAAUAACUUCAUUGGUGAGAGUAAGUUUGAUAAGUUGUUUCCUUUCAAUAAAGUAUUCUCCAAGAUUUUUAAUUAUACAUCAAAUGGUGUAAAAAAAAUAUUUACACAACUGAAUUAUAAUAUAAUCACGUAUAAAUCUCUAUUAUAAAUUAUUUAUCAGUAACCAACUGGUGAAGAACAUGAUAAAAAGAGUAGCCUGGUCAAUCAAUAUCCUUUCGCCGUAAAAUUACAUUGUACACUGCUAGAUAAAUUUUUAUGUUUUAUGUAUAUUUACUAUACGUUGACUCCAAUAAAUUUUUUGGUGUAUCCAUUUUUUAUAUUUGACACUUCUUAAUGAAAAUUCUGGCUCCAUCAAUACUGGUUGUCCACAUCACACCCCUACGAGUGGUUAAAAUAGUACAUGCUAGCCAGUUUUCGGACUGGUCAUUCAAAAAUAACCAGUAUUUACAAAAUCAUUGAAAAAUAGCCAUUAUUUUGCUGCAAUAGGGACCGGUCCAGCAUAAUAUACUGGAGAUUGGUGAACAUAUGUAUUAACUUAUAGCAUAUUAUGCCGGAACUACUCCAACACGCGAAAAGUUUCAAUAUAAUAUAUUAGAGAUUGGAGCACACGUGUAUGAACUUCCGGCAUAUUAUAUUAUACCAGUAUAUUAUAUUGGAACUCCAGUAUAUUAUGCUGCAGUUCCAGUAUACUUAUGCUAGAUCUCCAUUAUAAUAUACUGGGGUUCCAGUAUACUUAUGUUGGAACUCCAUUAUAAUAUAUUGGAGUUCCAGUAUACUUAUGCUGGCACUCCGGUAUAUUAUGCUGGAGUAUUUUCUGGAUUUUGAACAAUGUUUUCGUUCAGAUUUAUCUUUACAUGAAAAGUGGCUAAAUUUUGAUUACUUUUGAAACUGUGGUUAUUUUUGAAUGACCACUUAUAAAUCUGACUCUUUUUGAAUUUCUCGUGUGAUCUUUCAUGAACCCUGUAUGAACACAAAAUGCCUUAUACAUCGGACUGUCCCAUUUUGGUAUAUAUAAGUUGAACCAUAUCAAAUAUAUGUGCAUACAUAUCCUCCUUUUCAAUCUUUUUCUCAAGUUUAUAGGGAAGUGGCUCUUGAAUAUUUGAAGUCAUCAACAAAAAUGGUGAGGCAACUAGUGGAGAUACUAUUUGGAAACCUUGGAGCAACGCUAGAUCAUACAAAAUUUGAAUCAUUAACAGGACUUAAAAUGGUUAAUUAUAUGAGCAGAAGUUAUUUUCUUUACAACAAUCUUGACUUUUUUAACUUCAUAUUAUUUGUUCUAACGCUUAGACAUUAGUAUUAAUCUUUAGUACUCAAAUUCAAGAGUCGUCAAAAUGCUAUAUAAUCGGCUAAUAUAAUGGUUAAUUUUUAAUAAAUAUUUUUCUGUAAAAUGUUUUUCGCUCGCCACCCAAUAUUGGGAAAUAUUUCAUAAAGAAUGAUUUAUGCCAUACCAAACACACUCUAUGUGUUUGUUCUACUAUCCUCAAAAAUUUAAAUUAUUUCUUGUGUAGGAUAAAAUUAAUCAUGCUUCGAGAAACAAUUAUGAAAUGUACACUGGAUUAAACGUGAUCAAAGCAAAUAACCCUAAUAUUUAUUACAUUUUAAAAUCUUUUUCCCAAUUAUUUAUUUUAUUUAUUUUGUCUUUGGAUUUAGAUCUUAAGCAAUGGUAGAUACAAAAGUGCUGAACAUAGAGUUCGUACAAGUUCAGAAUCAAGAGUUUCAGUUCCAUUAUUUACUAUAUUUUUAUUUAUAGUUAAUGAGCUUUUUGACUUCUAAAAUGCAAAUUGUCAAUAAGUUGCCUAUUUCUUUUGAAUAACAAACAAAAGAAGUCAUCAUUUGUGCUCCUUUAUCGCUUCAACAGAAAAUAUUUUAUUUUCGAUAUUUUGGGGUGGUAAAUGGGCGAGGUAAGUUAAAUUUGGGCGGGUCAUGAUAAGUUAGGUCAAUAAAGUAAAUAUAAUGCGAGGAACCCAUUAAAUAGGGUGGUCUUUAUUUUUAUCCACUAAUUCUAAUGUUCAACAAAAAUAGCCACUACCCUAUUAAAAUUAUUUUGAAAAGAUAGUUUUACACUCUUCAAUUCUUAUAUUCACAAAUCCUUAUUUUAUUCAUUCAGAGAAAAAAUCUGAGAGUAAAAAUUUCAAAGGCAAGUUUCGUGUGCUCCUCAGUGUCUGUGUCGUCCUCGCAUGCACACCAGCUGCACUUAAUCUUUCUCCUUCGUCAUCUUCUCUACAUCGAACGAUCGAACUGGUAUUUGUUUUUUGCUUUUAUGCAUUUUUAUUUUUGUAUAUGUGUACUCGUGAUCAUCAUUGUAUCAAGUAUGUGUGAAAUUUCAAAAAUAUAGAUUAUAAGUUGAUUCAGUGUCAAAUAAGUAGCAGAUUUUUGUGAGGAAGUUAUUCAGAAAUUUUUUAUAUUGAAAUGUGUUUGUGGUUCAAUCAAUAUAUUUGAUUAUGUAAGGAUAUUUCAUAAAAAUAGUCGUAAGAAUUCAUAAGCUAAAUGUGUUUAUGAAUUUUUAGUUAAUUGUGUUCAUAAAGUUAAGGACCAAGUGUCAUUAACUUUUGAACUUGGAACUCAAAGUUAAGGACUGAGUGUUCAGGACCAAGUAUACUUAACUUUGGAACUUGAAACUUGAAGUUCAUCACCAAGUGUCUUUAACUUUUCAACUUGUAAUUAUAGGUUAAGGACAUCAUGUUCUUAACUUUUUAACUUGUAACUCUCAGUUAAGGACCAAGUGUCCUUAACUUUUGAACUUGUAAAUCAAAGUUAAGAACCAAAUGUCUUUUACUUUUGAACUUGAAACCUGAAGUACAUGACCAAAUGUCUUUAACUUUUUAACUUGAAACUUGAAGUUAAGGAAAGUGUCCUUAACUUUUGAACUUGAAAUUUGAAGUUCAGGACCUAUUGUAUGUAACUUUUCAAUUUGAAACUUUAAGUUAAGUGUCACAUCACUUUUUUACAAACUCACUAACCCUCUUAAAAUAAUAAAAAAAUUUGUAAAGCUCAAAAGGUUUUUCUAAUUAGAACAUGACAAAAAGUUAUGUUCAAAAGGAUUAACUCAGAAUCACCACUUGACAUCGGUUUUGGUAUGUCAGGUCACCGUUUCUAAAAAUAAUUUUCCUUUUAAAACACUUUGGACUCCAAACUAAGUUUGCACCAGAGAUUCGGGUAUGGAGGUUCAUUUGACUCGGGAAGAAGGUGCUAAGCGCUCCCCAAGUCCCGUAACCAGUACGUUUGCUUACUCAAUCUAGUUGGCUUUUAAGAUAUUCAAAUUGAGGUAAAAACACACAAAAAAAAAAAUUCAAAAGAGGCUCGAGGUCGUUUCCACUUAAUAAAAUAAAAAUAAAUUUAAAACAAGAAUAAAAGUACUAUGAGUUCGCUUUCGGCCUCUAAUUACAUAAUACUUCAUGGCAUUCCCCGAAAUAAAAUAUAUACAAAUCCUUCGAGGCAUUUCCCGGAUAAAUUUAACUAAAAAAACGACCUCUCACCUCAAAACUAACAAAAAUCCUAAAGCUUGCCUACCUAAGUGUAGUCGGUCUAAACACGGCACUAGCAAGCCCGAAUGAAUCAAGAUAAAACAAUAAGAUUAUUGCCCGAACCUCUUAGUUCAUCUCAAGCCCAAAUCCGAUUAUCAACCUCAUCCCUUACAGCACACACACUAGUGAAUUUAACCCAAUCACUCGAACCAGUGGAAUAAAAUAAAGCUACAGAAGUAGCAGAAAUAUUCUUAAGCCCGAAUCUCUUUCUUGUUUCAAAAUAGAGUCCAUUUUAAUUUCAAUUUUUAUAACCAAACCCCAACAACUAUAAAUUAAUGUAACUCUUAUGUUCUUAAUUAAAAGUGUAAUAACUAUUCUGUUAAGAACAUAUUAACAUACAAAUUAUAGUAUAAGCCACAAGACCAUUUCGUAAAGUAGAUCAAACAGUAGCAAAGCUAGAAAAUAAAAUGCAAGAAAAAAGAAAGAGUUGGACCUUUAAUGAUAAGUUUCUCCAGGAAAUUGAGCUGAAUCUACACUUUAAGUAGCCUUUUCCAUUUAUAGAACUCUAGCGUAGAGUAAAGCCGACAAAAUUUGAACGGCAAACAACAAAAUAGCUUGGACGUCUUUGAUCGGACACUCGGACGGCAACCUCGUUGUACCUUUUCGACUUAAACCCGGGAAUCUCCGAGUGAAACAGUGGCUAGCAAAAAUGGGUACUUGGGCCUUAUAACUUACAUCGAAUGGGGUUGUUGGGUUUGGUUUUAACUGAAUUUGAGCGUGAGUUUGGAGCUAAUUUUGUGGGAUUUCCGCGCAGGAUUUUGGGAUGGAAUGGAGAUGUUUUAGAGGGAAGUUUCGUGGUGGAAAUAAGAGGAGGGUGAGGGAGAUCGCUGUGAAGGGAGGGGUUGAUGGAGUCGUUGGUGGCGUUGGAGGGUGAGGGAGAUCGCUGUUGCGCUGCCUUUUUCAAAGGAUUUUCGGUGAUCUUUAGAUGGAGAAAAAGGGUGGGGCGCCGAUCUGCUGCUUCCCUUGUCCUUCGGGCCUUUUUAAUUAUUUUUUUUAUAAAAUGUUUUU
This 5048-nucleotide long non-coding RNA is filed under the name Nicotiana benthamiana. RNAcentral describes it as "long non-coding RNA (NBEN_LNC038154)". Lineage: Eukaryota; Viridiplantae; Streptophyta; Magnoliopsida; Solanales; Solanaceae. The record is from RNAcentral.